Molecule: ribosomal RNA, 604 nt
Filed under: Candidatus Mycoplasma haematominutum
Lineage: Bacteria; Bacillati; Mycoplasmatota; Mollicutes; Mycoplasmatales; Mycoplasmataceae
Description: bacterial SSU rRNA
Rfam family: Bacterial small subunit ribosomal RNA
Source: RNAcentral
GGUGGUAUGCAUAACACAUGCAAGUCGAACGAAGAGGGUUUACUCUCUUAGUGGCCAACGGGCGAGUAACACAUAUUUAACUUACCUGCACGAGGAGAAUAGCAACUCGAAAGAGUUAUUAAUACUCCAUAGGUUUGAGACCCAAAUUAAAGGGAGCGUUCUGGGAAACUAGAGCUUCGCGAGCAGAGAGGAGUAUGUCCUAUUAGGUUGUUGGUGGGGUAAUUGCCUACCAAGCCGAUGAUGGGUAGCUGGACUGAGAGGUCGACCAGCCGCAAUGGGAUUGAAAUACGGCCCAUAUUCCUACGGGAAGCAGCAGUGAGGAAUUUUUCACAAUGGACGAAAGUCUGAUGGAGCAAUGCCAUGUGAACGAUGAAGGUCUUCUGAUUGUAAAGUUCUUUUAUUUAGGAAAAAAAGCUUGAGAGGAAAUGAUUAAGCCUUGAUUGUACUAAAUGAAUAAGUGACAGCUAACUAUGUGCCAGCAGCUGCGGUAAAACAUAGGUCACGAGCAUUAUCCGGAUUUAUUGGGCGUAAAGGAAGCGUAGGCGGACAAAUUGAUCUAUUGUUAAAGGCACUUGCUCAACGAGUUGUUUGUGAUAGAUAUCGU